AAAUGAAAUAAGCAACAACCAAAGACAGCAGGUGCUAUUCGCUUAAUAUCCUGCCGAGGUUUGCGCCCUAAUUGCUAAAAGUACCUCACGCGCAUUGUGUGACUACUGCUGCAUAAGGAUGGUAGAAACGCAUUUUUCUGCUGCGUGUCUACUGCAAAACCCCGGCUGUGAAAGCUGGGGUUUGUUGUUUUUGUA
Non-coding RNA from Tolypothrix campylonemoides VB511288, 195 nucleotides. NCBI's taxonomy places the organism in Bacteria, Bacillati, Cyanobacteriota, Cyanophyceae, Nostocales, Tolypothrichaceae. The record is from Rfam.